Non-coding RNA from Delphinapterus leucas (beluga whale), 1967 nucleotides. The record is from RefSeq and is a predicted model, not a curated record. Lineage: Eukaryota; Metazoa; Chordata; Mammalia; Artiodactyla; Monodontidae.
AUUAUAUGAUGAACGACAUUUCCCUUUCCCAGGUGCUUAUGUUUCCAGGUGGCUACUGUAAAAUCACUGUCAAACUUGCCUAGGUUUUUAGUGUCAUUCUGGCUCCAACUCACUUUCCUUUCUUCUUUCUCCCACAUUUGUGAUCUCCUGCCUUGUUUCAGAUGUUUUCCUAAGAUGCCUUAAAUCCUUUCUACAACAAGGAACACAGCAGAUCAACCAGCCCAUCAGUCAACCAACCAAGCAGGGGAUUCUCUGAAGCUCUGCACUCCCCUGGGGCAAAGACUGCUCUCUGUCAUCUUGCCUCAAAAAUCAAAUCAAGUGAAAAUCACAGAGGUGGAGGAAACAACAAGAUACUGUGGACGUUGUCAAUAUGGACUAAAAGAACGUACCUCCUGUGCAUGCAGCUGGAUCUCUGCCCGUGUUGUGGAGCUGGGAGAGGACACCCCCCGACCCAGGGAGUAGCGAGUGACAAAGUCACCCACUGACUGUCCCAGAGGAUUCUACCAGCCUGCCCCACCCAUCCUCCACUUCCUACACGUGGCUGCCAGGGCCACAUCUGCAUCCCACCUGGGUAGCGGGAACAAAACCAUUAACCAGUGGCCAAGGAAGCACAGAGGUGACCCCCAGGUUUAAAACAUGGACUCAAAAGAGAUCAUUCAUCUCAAUGGUUACCAAGCAGUCUGCCUCACAGUGUGUCCAACGCACUUGCUUUAUCCCACACUGGAGAUCCGAAAGACAGACAGCGGCUGACGUGCAAGUGACAGUGGCUUUAAGAAGAAAGGCCAGUGAUUUUUUUAAAAAAUGGAUACGAGAUGGAACCGAUGAAUGUUAAAGAAGGAAAGCCGUAGCAUCUUAGAGAAUCUCACUAAGGUUGUGAGAAUCUCCUCAACGGGCUGAAAACUACCAGCAACAAACAGCUUAGGAAUAAUACUUUUUAAACAGUGAGUGGUCAAAUUUAGUGUGUGGCAGUUUGUCAAUAAAGCUGCACGUUCAAGUUGUAACAAAUCGGUGUCAAACUAUGUGAUGGGCCUGGAUGGUAGAAAAAUCUGAUGAUGAGUAUCCAAACAGCUGUGAAAAAAGAAACGGAGAGGAGAGAGGGGAAGGUUAACUCACAGAGAAGGGAAGCUGGCCUUGCCCUGAGUCUGCGUUUACAUCUUCCCCAGAAGGAGCAGAAGGCCCACGCGUGCCCGGCCCUGGAGACCCUGCCUCCCCGGGCCUCUGUGCAGGCCUGUGGUCCAGAUCCCGCUGACAGCGAUGAGCCAUCAGGUGAUCAGCCACUGUGUGUCUCCCAGGAGAGGAAGCCUUCAGCACAUGCUCAUUCGGCUAUUCUACCAACAAUCGCCGAUGCCAACAGGAGUGUCAGACGCUGGGUCAGAGAUGGCAAGGACAUUCUCUGCCCUCCAGUCUGGCCCUGUGGCUGCAGUGACAGACAUGAGGACAGAGGGCUGAGGGGGUAGGAGCAAGGGUCCUCCACCCUGAGGAGUUGGGAGAGACAUGAGCGCAGCUAAGCGUGGGCUCCACGGAGUGUGGAGGGGGUCGGGGGAAGACGGCAGCAGGAGACCAGUCUGCAGAGGGGGGCAGAGGCCAGAUCAAAGGCAGGUGGAGUGGGGCCUUGAACUCAGACAGGCCCAGCUCAUCUCCUGACUGGCUGUCAGGUCUUAGGGCCAGCUGGAAACCCUCAGACCGAGCUCCAGGGAACACACAGGAGUCACAACUACAUACACCUUCUCGGUAGACAAGCCACAGGCUGUGCGUAUAAUCAAAGGGGCCAGAGGACGAGGCCAAUCCAAGGAGGGAAGAGCCUAGGCCGGGCCUAAAGCCAGAAUGAUGCCAGCACCCCAACACCCAGGAAGCCAAGCCAACAUGCAACCCCAUGCCCAGGAAGCCAGGGUGAGGCUAGGUUGGGCACAGCCCCUGGUCUUUCUCCUGGGAAAGGGCGUGGCACCAAGGAGACUGGGGAACAAAGC